UACCAGCACCCCGAGUGGUCGGGACGAUUAUUGGGCCUAAAGCAUCCGUAGCCGGCCUUACAAGUCCUCCGUUAAAUCCAGCUGCUUAACAGAUGGGCUGCGGAGGAUACUAUAAGACUAGGAGGCAGGAGAGGCAAGCGGUACUCAGUGGGUAGGGGUAAAAUCCGUUGAUCCAUUGAAGACCACCAGUGGCGAAGGCGGCUUGCCAGAAUGCGCUCGACGGUGAGGGAUGAAAGCUGGAGGAGCAAACCGG
RNAcentral lists this ribosomal RNA (253 nucleotides) under uncultured bacterium. RNAcentral's name for it is "partial 16S ribosomal RNA". It matches the Rfam family "Archaeal small subunit ribosomal RNA", at positions 474 to 727 of the family's 1478-position model. The record is from RNAcentral.